GAUGAACGCUGGCGGCGUGCUUAACACAUGCAAGUCGAACGGAAAGGCUCCUGCUUGCAGGGGUACUCGAGUGGCGAACGGGUGAGUAACACGUGGGUGAUCUGCCCUGCACUUCGGGAUAAGCCUGGGAAACUGGGUCUAAUACCGGAUAGGACGAUGGUUUGGAUGCCAUUGUGGAAAGUUUUUUCGGUGUGGGAUGAGCUCGCGGCCUAUCAGCUUGUUGGUGGGGUAAUGGCCUACCAAGGCGUCGACGGGUAGCCGGCCUGAGAGGGUGUACGGCCACAUUGGGACUGAGAUACGGCCCAGACUCCUACGGGAGGCAGCAGUGGGGAAUAUUGCACAAUGGGCGCAAGCCUGAUGCUGCGACGCCGCGUGGGGGAUGACGGCCUUCGGGUUGUAAACUCCUUUCGCUAGGGACGAAGCGCAAGUGACGGUACCUGGAGAAGAAGCACCGGCUAACUACGUG
This 466-nucleotide ribosomal RNA is filed under the name uncultured bacterium. Its description in RNAcentral is "partial 16S ribosomal RNA". It matches the Rfam family "Bacterial small subunit ribosomal RNA", at positions 28 to 507 of the family's 1533-position model. The record is from RNAcentral.